This 1212-nucleotide long non-coding RNA is filed under the name Lathyrus oleraceus (garden pea). RNAcentral describes it as "Pisum sativum (pea) long non-coding RNA (PSAT_LNC009915)". Lineage: Eukaryota; Viridiplantae; Streptophyta; Magnoliopsida; Fabales; Fabaceae. The record is from RNAcentral.
GGAAAUGAUUGUGUUGUUGUUAUUUUUCUUUUGCUUGCGGGAUGCCAUCACUUCUUGUGUUCCUAUGAUUGUUAGAUUUAGUUUUACUGUUUUGUUUGUUUGUGGCAUAUUAUAUUGAGGAUUGUAGUUGAAUCUAGUGUCAAAGUUUAUAUGUUGCCUUGGUUGCUUUAAGUUGUUCUUCUUGCUGCACUGAUGUUUGAACUUGAAUAUAAGCGCUUUAAAGUCUUGAAUGAUUCACCUGUUGUUCAUGUUAGUUGGAGAAUUAAAUCAAAGCCAAGAUUGAAUUAUCAUGUUUAUUUGUGUUUUUUCUUCCGUUAGAUUCCUUAAACUCCCUGUUAUGACUUUUUAUUAUUAUUUCACCAUACCACCAUUUAGCCUCCUAGUGAGUGGUGUUUAAUUCUAUUUAUUAUCAUUAAACUUGGAAGAAAUAAAGAGUUGCAGAAGAAGGACAGUUGUUAAAACACGUCCAGGAUUUUGUUUUGUUUUUGUCUGCAGCUUACUUAUUACCAUUAAGACGAGUUUUGUGGUAUAUGUACUAGUCAUUGUUAUUAUUGGGGUCUAAUUCAAAUUAGCCUAUGAGGCCUAAGUCACGUAACCUCCAUUUCUAGAAUUAGUCUUAUUUUGACAGUGUUUUUUUUUAGGAUUAUCAUUUAUGGUUAUUAUUAUAACAAAUCUAGAUGAGAAGCGUUUCUUUUUUUAUCAUGUUAGUUUAGUUAAUAAUGUCAUCUCUAUAAUAUAAAAAUAUUGUAAAUAAAUAUUAAGUUAUGGUGUUUUGGUAAAAUUGGGUUGUAAUUAUAUUCUUUCUAUUUUAAUUCUUUCUCCUUAAAUUAUAAUAAAUUAAUUAAUUAAAUUUUGAUCAAAUAAUUAAUUGCUAUUAAUUAAUUUUAAUUAAUCCAAUUAUUUGAUUUAAUUAAAUAAUUCUAAUAAUUAAUUUUAAUUAACUUAAUUAAUCGAUCUAAUCAAAGUUUAAUAAAUUAAUUAAAAAUUGGUCAAUUUCUUUCAAAUAUCACAAUUUCGUACCAUUUCACAAUACAAAUUCAAUUUCAUUCCAUUUCCUCAUUAAUUCAAAACCAUGAUAAAAUCACUCAAAAUCACACAAUUCUUGAUUCAAUAUCGAGACCAUUUCCAUACCCUUGUAAGUCGAUCGCUUUUAAGCAUCGCCAUCAACCUCACAUAACUUACUCUUGGGCUUUCUUACAAUGAGACCUAUUC